Molecule: ribosomal RNA, 253 nt
Filed under: uncultured bacterium
Lineage: Bacteria
Description: partial 16S ribosomal RNA
Rfam family: Bacterial small subunit ribosomal RNA
Source: RNAcentral
UACGAAGGGGGCUAGCGUUGCUCGGAAUCACUGGGCGUAGAGCGCACGUAGGCGGAUUGUUAAGUCGGGGGUGAAAUCCUGGAGCUCAACUCCAGAACUGCCUUCGAUACUGGCGAUCUUGAGUCCGGGAGAGGUGAGUGGAACUCCGAGUGUAGAGGUGAAAUUCGUAGAUAUUCGGAAGAACACCAGUGGCGAAGGCGGCUCACUGGCCCGGUACUGACGCUGAGGUGCGAAAGCGUGGGGAGCAAACAGG